GUAACACGUAUCCAACCUGCCGUCUACUCUUGGACAGCCUUCUGAAAGGAAGAUUAAUACAAGAUGGCAUCAUGAGUCCGCAUGUUCACAUGAUUAAAGGUAUUCCGGUAGACGAUGGGAUGCGUUCCAUUAGAUAGUAGGCGGGGUAACGGCCCACCUAGUCUUCGAUGGAUAGGGGUUCUGAGAGGAAGGUCCCCCACAUUGGAACUGAGACACGGUCCAA
RNAcentral lists this ribosomal RNA (223 nucleotides) under uncultured bacterium. Its description in RNAcentral is "partial 16S ribosomal RNA". It matches the Rfam family "Bacterial small subunit ribosomal RNA", at positions 110 to 334 of the family's 1533-position model. The record is from RNAcentral.